CCUGAGAAACCUAAAAGUUCGAAAGAGGAGAUUCAACGUCAACAUGUACAGUAUUUACGUGAGUAGUGAUGUGAUUUGUUUGAAGAAGUUUCUGACUUCUUCGACGCCCACACAUUUUCAUGUCUUUUUAUUGCUGUACUACUGUCGGCGUGCACUUCUCCUCUAGUAGGACGUCCCGACCUGUUAAGCCUCAGCCUACGGCCCAGAUGGUAGCCUUCGAUACAUUCAUUUGUAUUGAAGACCUCUGGUGUUUCCCGGUCUGAGUGCCUGACAGUAUUGAAGCAAACGACGGUAUUGUGCCGCAUCUUGAAUGCGUCUAGCCUGUUGCAAGCUCGAUUAAACUGUCAACACGUAGACUUUGCUUCUAUGUUUGCGGUUUUUUCGGCUGUUAGCCGACAGUGUUCUUAGACUGGCCUAUCAUUACCUGUCAGGGACGCUAUUGCUUUGGGUACUUUCAGG
This 459-nucleotide ribosomal RNA is filed under the name Sigalphus irrorator. Its description in RNAcentral is "partial 28S ribosomal RNA". The record is from RNAcentral. Lineage: Eukaryota; Metazoa; Arthropoda; Insecta; Hymenoptera; Braconidae.